AGCAGUCGCCGCGGGAAUACGUAGGGUGCAAGCGUUAAUCGGAAUUACUGGGCGUAAAGCGUGCGCAGGCGGUUAUAUAAGUCAGAUGUGAAAUCCCCGGGCUCAACCUGGGAACUGCAUUUGAGACUGUAUGGCUAGAGUGUGUCAGAGGGGGGUAGAAUUCCACGUGUAGCAGUGAAAUGCGUAGAUAUGUGGAGGAAUACCGAUGGCGAAGGCAGCCCCCUGGGAUAACACUGACGCUCAUGCACGAAAGCGUGGGGAGCAAACAGGAUUAGAUACCCCUGUAGUCCCUGUCUCUUAUAC
Molecule: ribosomal RNA, 303 nt
Filed under: uncultured bacterium
Lineage: Bacteria
Description: partial 16S ribosomal RNA
Rfam family: Bacterial small subunit ribosomal RNA
Source: RNAcentral